AAUGUGUAAGAGAAUAAGAGAUAGUGGAGGUAGGUGAGACAAGACAAGCAAAAGGAGAGUUCUAGAGAAAGUGAGGGAACAUUGGAGUUUCAAGCAAGCUUUCUCCUCUUUGUUCUUUGUCUUUGAUCUUUGUUCUUCUUGAGAUUGUAUCUGAAACCAAAAGACAACAUCACAAGUUAGCAGUGUAUGUAACCUCAUUCUCAUAGUGAAAGUUGGGAGCAAAAGUCCUCCCCCGAGACGUAGCG
Molecule: long non-coding RNA, 245 nt
Filed under: Capsella grandiflora
Lineage: Eukaryota; Viridiplantae; Streptophyta; Magnoliopsida; Brassicales; Brassicaceae
Description: long non-coding RNA (CGRA_LNC001815)
Source: RNAcentral